AAAUAAUAGGAUUAAGGUUAGAUAUUUUCUUCUCUCUCCACCACGUUCCCGUCUUUUAUAGUAAUCACUCUCUUCAUGCUCUUCUUCUUCUUCUUCUUCCUCAAUUCCUUCUGUUUCUCAAUUCUCACUUUCUCAUUCUCUUCCACCACCGCGUCUCCGUCGCCGUCGCUUCGCUCCUCCAAGUAAGCGGCGGUUCUUCCUCUUUCUUCCGCCUUCCUUAUUAAUCUUCCAACCUUAUAUAUAGUAUAAUUUUGCUUAUUCAUUCAUGUGAACAGGUUCAUGGUAAGUGGAUCAACGUUAAAGUAUUUAAACGGAUCUGAAUUUUUGUUUACCUUAGGUAAGAAUAUUAUUCAUUUCUUAUGUACUUUUACAUUUUUUAAACGCUUCAUAAGAAUAAACGCUUCAUAGGAAUACAUUGUUUUGGUUCCAUUUUGCUCAAUAAAACUUAUGCAUGUAAUAACAAGGAUCUUGUUGUUUGGAGUGCAUGGUUUUAAAUUUAUUUAGCUUUGGUUGGAGUGGAAUGGAUUUUCUUUGCUUUUGAUUUUAGAAUUCAUGUUAUAAAAUUGAAGAGUUUAAAAUCUAGCCAUCAUUGUCUCUUAAAUAUGAUAAAUGGUGGAAGAUGUACUUAUAAUGCAUAGAUAUUAAAGUAAAGGUCUAUUCACAUUUAUAUUAAUAUCAUAAAUUACUUUCUAAUCAAGAAUGAUUAUAUUCGACAAGUGUUAUUCAGUAAUAAAAUAAGGAACCACAGUUGGGAGAUUUCCCGGUCAGCUACCCUGCCCAUGGAAAUUACUAUAUCUAUAUUAUGAGAAAUACAUGUGGAAAUAAGCAUAACGGCAAUGUUCUUAGAACUACAUGUCCUAAGCAUGCUUGCCAAAUCUUGCAAGAUCCGUCAAAAGUGCGGACUGAACUUUCUGCAACACAUAAAGCCCCUUUUACACUUGCAUGUUGCUAUUGGAGUUCUUGUUCGACGAGUGGAUUGAUAAAUGAAUAAGCAUAUAAAAGUACAUCAAUCGGGUAAUCCUUGGUAAGGUGACUAAUUGAAAGUAAAUUCCGAGAUAUAUGCGGAACAACUAGAACGUCAAGUUGCUUAACAUCAUAAGAUAGAGAAUAGGUGCCAAAAUUUGAAAUUGAAAGGGUAUUGCCAUUUCGUCUAUACCUUUUUAGAGAGUGGUAGAGUCCACUUGAUGAUAAGAUGAAGUCAUAUGCGUAGAAGCUCCUGUAUCCACAUACCAAUUGGAAUCACCAUUCUCGUUCAAGGAGCUCGGAGCACUGAAAGCUUCAACAAGGUUGGUCGGAGAAGGAAUCGAGUCAUACCUCUUCAAUCAUGAAGCCACUUUGUGGCCCUCAAUGCUACAUAUCCGACAUUUAAGAAUGUAAGGCCUUUUGCCUUUACCAUGGUAGCCGCCAUGUAUACCGCCAUGAUUCAGAUUUGACGACUAGAUUGAUCAACACCACAGUGGUUGUGAUUGUUGCCAUAAGAAAGAGGAUGUAGUCUUGUUGAACCAAGUAACAUAGUAUGAGCCAUUGAAUUUGAGAUAGAGGUUGAUUGGGAAAUCUCCACAGUCUCUGCACGCAACACAAGUAUCCAAAAAUAGGUAGGGAGCAUUGUGACCAUGUUGAAGAUGGCAAAGUUUGAGAAUUCAGGUCCCAAUCCUCAUAAGUAGCAAUAGACUUUAUUAUAAUUCCCACUAAAACACCCAACCACCUCAAGUUGAUCAAACUAGCGAUAGUAUUAUGAGACGGAAUGUGAACCACUUUUUAGACUCUGGAGGCUGAUUUUUAAAUGAUAUCACGGGCCAUAGAGCGAUUUGAGAAGGUCAGUUCAAGAACAAGCCAUAGUUUCCGAGUGGAAGACGAUCCUAGGGCAAUAGCCAUAGCCUCUUCAGUAAAUGUUGAUUUAAUAAAUUAGAGGAGACACUUAUUAGUUGCAAGCCAUGUAGAGUGUGACAGAUUUGACAAUGUCUCGCCAUCAGUGCCAAUAAUCAUCGAGAUGGGGGGGAGUAAGCAGAACCAUCAACAAACUAAAAAAGAUCGUGAGACUCCAAAGCAUACUAAAUUUGGGUUUUCCACAAGAGAAAUUUGGAAGAGGUUAGUUUUAGAGUAACCAUAUGGAAAAGGGCGGUAAAGGGAAAAUUAGACGAGCCUCUGAAAGAAAGGAUUUUGGCUACUAGAAGCAUAAUGAAUAGAGGGACCAAACAUUGAUGUGCUCGGGGAAGAAUGAUUUGUUUUUCAGCGGGUCACUUAUACCAUGUAGAAUCAAUUAAGUUCCACCUAAUCAGUAGGUUGUGGACUAUAUGAGAUAUAUAGCAAAUAGUUACAACUAUAUCCCAAAUUACAAGAGAUAUUCAAGGAAUGAAAUCCCUACAAUUAUGUUCAUAAUCUUAUCAACUAAUAUUGUCAUUAUCCACAAUAGUAGUGUCAUUACCUCCCCCCUAAAUCUCCAAACUCUCUACAUGUGACACACGUCUACAAAAAUAGUUAGGGAGCCUAUGACCAUGUUGGAGAGGGUAGAGUUUGUUCCGAACCACUUUUAAGAGUUAGGAGGUCGUCUUUCAAAUGCAUAUCGUGGGCAUUAGAGCGAUUUGAGAAAUUCGAUUCAAGAACAAGCCAUGGCUUCCGAGUGGAAGAUGAUCAUAUGGCAAUAGCCAUAGCCUUUUCAGUAAGUGUUGAUUUAAUAAAGGAGAGGAGACACUUAUCAGUUGCAAGCCAUGUAGAGUGUGACAUAUUUGGCAAUGUCUCGCCAUCGGUAAUCAUCGAGAGCAAGAGUAGGAGAACCAUCAACAAAUUGGAAAAGAUUGUGAGACCCCAAAGCAGACUCAAUUUGUGAUUUCGACAAGAGAAAAUUGGAAGAGUUGAGUUUGGGGAACCAUAUGGAAAAGGGUGGUAAAGGGAAAAUAGACGAGCCUUCGGAAGAAAGGAUUCUAGCAACCAAAAGAAGAAUAAUCGGAGGUGCCGAUCAUUGAUGCCCUUGGGGAAGAAUGUAUGUUUUGUUUUUUACUAGGUCACUGAUACCAUGUAGAAUCAAUUAAAUUCCACCCUAAUCAGUGGAUUUCGGACUAUAUCAAAUAUAUAAGAAAAAGUUACAAUUAUAUCUAAAAUUAUAUGAGAUAUUCAAGGAAUGAAAUCCCAACAAUUAUGCAGAUAAUCUAUGCACAUAAUUUUAACAACUAAUAUUAUCAUUAUCCAUAAUAUUAGCGUCAUUACAUCUCCCCUGAAUCUCUAGACUCUCUGCACGGGACGCAAGUCUGCAAAAGUAGGAAGGGAGCCUGGGACCAUGUUGGAGAUGGUAGAGGUUGAGAAUUUAGGUCCCAAUACUCGUUAGUAGCAAUAGACUUUAUUAAAAUUCAUAAUAAAACACCUAAUUGCUGCAAAUUGAUCGCAAAUAGAUUUAAACUGGUGAUAGUAUUCCGAUAUGGAACAUGAACCACUUUUUAGAGUCUGGAGGUCGUCUUUCAAAUGCAUAUCGCGGGCCUUAGAGCGAUUUGAGAAGGUCGAUUCAAGAACAAGCCAUAGUUUCCGAGUGGAAGAUGAUCAUGGGGCAAUAGCCAUAGCCUCUUCAGUAAGUGUUGAUUUAAUAAAGGUGAGGAGACGCUUAUUAGUUGCAAGCCAUGUAAAGAGUCAUUUGUCUUUCCCAUUUUAUUCUCUUCUAGUAGCUUCUUUUGAGGGGAAAUAUAAGCAGGGUUGGUGAAAUGGAGAAGUGUUUAGAGAGUCAUUUGUGAUUGAAAGGUGCCUCUAUGCUAAAUGGAAGUUUUUACAACACAACUAUAAGACUCAUGAUGCUUUAUGGUACCUGAGUGUUGUAAAUGUCCAAGUAGAGCCUAAGCUUUGUUGUCAAGAUGAGUAUAUUUCAUUAGUUGUGUGGAUAUACACGACAAGAUAAGAUCGGGAAUGAAUCCAUUAUAAUGUAUUGGUAGCACCUAUUGACGAAAAGUCGUAAGAGAAUCAAAUGGACUUUCUGAGAAUCAAAUGGACUUGAAAGGAAUAGGCUUUCAUUGUUGUUGUUUGUUGCAUGGUUUGUCGGCAUCAUGUAUAUAUGUUUCAGUCUACAUCUGCCAUACAAUUAAAUGAUUAUAUAAUUUGAUUUUUGCACUCGGGUUCCUCAGCCAAUAUCUUCAUAGCUAGGGUUGCAAAUAUAUGCCACUAUAUUUUAGAGCUUUAUUCCUUUCAUUUUAGAAACUGGCCACAUGAAGUUGUCCUUUUCAUGAACCUACUUCAGUUUGGCUUUGAGAACGGGCAGUCAUUUGAACAAGUUUUUUAAUGCUCAGUAAGUUGAAGCUUUUGAGCAUUAGGUAACUUGCCUCUAUAUACCUAAGUCGUUAAUUGCUUUGUCAACUUAUUGGCCAGGUUUAGGAUUUAGCAAGUCCAUUCUGAGCGUUUGAUAUGUUAGAAAUGAUUGGCUUGUUUUAUGUAUGCUAUUUUGGGUAGAAGGACCUCUUAAAGCCUAGUCUUAUAUUAUUACUGGUCAAAUCUGACUAAAGCUUGGUACUUGAAAAUACAACUCACAAGGAAUUGUCGAAUAGCUGAUUCCGGGUGGCAGUGGUGUGACAAUUAUUAGAUUUUAUCUAGUUCAGUUUCAGAGGCAUUUGUAUUCUUUCCUUUCUUUAUAAUUUAUUUUUUUAUGUCAAUGCUUUAAAAAAUUAAUCCUGCUGCUCACGUUUUAGAUUUACCCAAAUUCACCAUUAUUCUCCAAGAUCUGCCUUCAUCUAAUUGUCUCUCAACUUUAUCCUUAGAAAGUGGUCUAGUGAAAGCUUCAGUGAAUUUGGUCAGGUUUCAAAGCAAUGCCCAGCUCUCAUUUUAGUCUAGUAUAUAUAGAAUAUAAAUUAUGUUAAAAUCAGUUCCAAUGACGCAGUUCAGCUUAACCCAUUUUAUGCCUUAUUGCUUCCGCACGUCUGUAUACCGGUGGUUAAAUUGCUAGAUAGUUUCACACUAGAUCCUCCCAAAAUGUGUCAUGAUACCAGUAGUUAUUGUAUUGUUUUAGCCUUUUAGGCUUUUAGCUGUUGCUCUAGAACAUUGAUCUUCGCUAAAUAUGAAAUCUAAAAUCAUCCAAGAAUCGUUGAUAUCAUUUUGCAACCAUUUAUUGUUAAUAUCGUAGUGCUAUUAGGAAUAGUUUGUGCAUUUGCUUUUAAAUCACAUACAGCCCAACAAUUAUCAAUUUUUAAAGAUUGAUAGCAGUUGCGUCAUGUGUGAAUAUUUGUGUCAACUGUCGAACAAUUGACACUAAGAAAUUCAAAUUUUAUCUAUGAUAUCCUGUACAUGAGAUGUCAAUUAAGACAAUUGAGUACUUAUAACAGCAUAAAUUUUUGUACUUGAGGUUUGCCAUUUUAUAAUCUUCAUUUGUGUCACAGUAUGGUUCACAACAAAAUUGGGUUUUCAGUCAUAUUACCAGCUUCCUUCUAUAAUAUAUUCUUUCACAUUGCCUUCACUUAAUUGCACUGACUUGAGCUUUAUAUCCAUCCAAUAUGGAUUCAUGAUAAUCUCAGACUUUGAUAUCCCUCCAUAUUGUUCCGUUGCAUGUCUGAUGCACAUCUGCAAGAGGACCAAAUUUUUGGUUACUCUUUGCAGUCUCAUAAUCUUAUAUGCCAGUAAUUUGUAUCCAUAUUAAUGCUGUAACAUUUAUUGCCACUUCUCUUUUCAGUUCCAUUGAUAUGAUUAUAUUUAACUUCGGAUGUGAUUUGGAUAACCUUUUAGAAGGUUUCUCUUCUUAGUGGCACUUCACUAAGAUGAUAGUGAGUUCAAGGAUCUAUUCCCACUGGAUGAUUAAUAUUAAAAGGAUGCCUAAGUACUUAGCAUAUAUAAGUCUGAAAAAUUUUACAUGGAAACUUAGACAUCACAUGCUUGUAGAAUGUUGUAACUUUGCUACACUAUGGAAAGUGGAAUUAUGUGCUGCCAGGCAUAAGUUCUUAUUUUAAUUUAUUUUUUAUUUAUAUAUUUUAUUUGAAGUAUUGCAGUUUGUAUGAGUUUUCUGAAUAUAGUUUCAUUUCCUUUAAUUCUUGCAACUAUUAGUGGUGCUGAUGUCAGUCGCUAUACAGCUAAAUUUGCUCUGCCAAAUAUAAUGGGAAUUUCUUGAAUCACUCAAUGACAGUAGGCAAUUAUUGCUUCUUCUUUAUUAGCAGAAAUGAUAGCGCUUCAAUUUGACUAAUGGCUGUGUUUUCCAGUUAAGUAUACAUCAAUAUUUUUUAUUGUUUAACUUGCACUGCAUAAACUACAGAAGACCGGACAACUUUUCCUCGUCUGUUUGUAUAGUCAGUUAUGCGUUUUUAUAACUGAAAACUUAGUUCAAGUACUAAAAUACUCUAAUCAUGUAAAUAGGUUUUUGGUAUGGGUUUGAUGGAGUUUUUCCUAUUUUCUGACAGGUAACCUUCUAUUUCUGCUGCACGUUUGUAUGACAAGGGCUAAGCAGGCUUGUGUUUCUGCAUCUCCCGCUUUGAAUAUAUAUUGGGUUUGACUGGUGCUAGAUUAUUAUGAUUCAUGAUAUCAUUUUCCUAUUUAUUGAUAUGAAUACUGCUAUACUGUUUGAAGAAUCAUAAGUCAUGGUUAUAACCUGAGAGAAAUAUAAGUCCUAGACAAUUUCUCUUAUGUUUGUGACUUACUAGAGGCAUAUGCAUAGGUAGCUAUAUUCUUAAUUUCCACUCAGUUGAUAAUGACAGAUGUAGAAAUUAUAUAAAAAAACACAACCAUGAUUUUGACAUUUUAUUGAUAUAAUUUAC
This 6707-nucleotide long non-coding RNA is filed under the name Lupinus angustifolius (narrow-leaved blue lupine). Its description in RNAcentral is "long non-coding RNA (LANG_LNC002840)". Lineage: Eukaryota; Viridiplantae; Streptophyta; Magnoliopsida; Fabales; Fabaceae. The record is from RNAcentral.